Molecule: ribosomal RNA, 664 nt
Filed under: Tolypothrix sp. HSN033
Lineage: Bacteria; Bacillati; Cyanobacteriota; Cyanophyceae; Nostocales; Tolypothrichaceae
Description: bacterial SSU rRNA
Rfam family: Bacterial small subunit ribosomal RNA
Source: RNAcentral
UCGGANGGGGUGAGUAACGCGUAGAAUCUGCCUUCAGGUUCGGGACAACCACUGGAAACGGUGGCUAAUACCGAAUGUGCAGCAAUGUGAAAAAUUUAUUGCCUGAAGAUGAGCUCGCGUCUGAUUAGCUAGUAGGUGUGGUAAGAGCGCACCUAGGCGACGAUCAGUAGCUGGUCUGAGAGGAUGAUCAGCCACACUGGGACUGAGACACGGCCCAGACUCCUACGGGAGGCAGCAGUGGGGAAUUUUCCGCAAUGGGCGAAAGCCUGACGGAGCAAUACCGCGUGAGGGAGGAAGGCUCUUGGGUUGUAAACCUCUUUUCUCAAGGAAGAAAAAAAUGACGGUACUUGAGGAAUAAGCAUCGGCUAACUCCGUGCCAGCAGCCGCGGUAAUACGGAGGAUGCAAGCGUUAUCCGGAAUGAUUGGGCGUAAAGCGUCCGCAGGUGGCUAUGUAAGUCUGCUGUUAAAGAGUCUGGCUCAACCAGAUAAAGGCAGUGGAAACUACAUGGCUAGAGUGCGUUCGGGGCAGAGGGAAUUCCUGGUGUAGCGGUGAAAUGCGUAGAGAUCAGGAAGAACACCGGUGGCGAAAGCGCUCUGCUAGGCCGCAACUGACACUGAGGGACGAAAGCUAGGGGAGCGAAAGGGAUUANAUACCCCUGUAGUC